Non-coding RNA from Oncorhynchus mykiss (rainbow trout), 1848 nucleotides. The record is from RefSeq and is a predicted model, not a curated record. Lineage: Eukaryota; Metazoa; Chordata; Actinopteri; Salmoniformes; Salmonidae.
AAACCAAUUUAAUCCUUUUUAGAAUAAGGCUGUUACGUAACAAAGUGGAAAAAGUCAAGGGGUCUGAAUACUUUCCGAAUGCACUGUACGUGUUCUAUUUACAGAGUCCAAUCCCAUCAACAUCUGCAAUGGAAUGAACAUCAAGCUCUGCACCCGGUACUAGUGUAAGUCACCUUUGCUAAAUCUAUCCAUGACUCCAUGAUGAGCAAAUAAAUAUACUGGAGCUAGGCAAUAACACGGUCUCUGUCUUGCUGUCAUAGUUUUUGUGUUAAUAAGUAGGUUACAACUUCUACUGUAGUCCUCUGUAUUAUGGAGGCGUAAUUGAUUGUUUAUUCAAAGGUUGAAGUCUAAAUUGGAGAAAAGUAGAGGUAUUAGUAAGAAAGGGAUAGUGUGGGUGACUGACUGGUGUCUGUUGGGGGUUGGUAUUGUGUGUGAAGGUUAGUAUGCAUGAUCUAUUGGCACUAGGGGGAUGGGUGGAUAUAGUACCUAGUACUGGUCCAGAAGACACGUAGUAACUGUACUGGUGCAUGUCCUGUAUUGAUGACAUCUAAAAGCAAAUAUAUGUUGUCUGUCUUUGAAUGUGCUAAUGCAUAUGUGUGCCUCCGUUCUCAAGUACAUCUGUGACGUACACAGCUGGACAGAGGAGGGGGAGGAAGUCCACUGUCAACACCCUGACCUGUACGAUGAUGAUCGUGGCAAGACGAAGUGGCUGUCCGUGGACUCAGUUGUGACCUCUCGGCAGUUGUGUUGGACAAACGUUUCACAACAGAUCUCUCACACAUGGCCAGAUUCAAACAUACAGGCCAUCUGGAGGCAUUCCACAGUGCUCUACUGAAGUAUACCCCAAAGCACCAGUGUUUUGGGCUCCUAGGCAUGAAGGUGCAUCUUGCUAUCCGGGAGCAUAAUGAGAAUGUGGGACGCAAACAAGCCAGGACAGCCAAAGUAAACUUGCAGUACAAAGAAAUCUUCUGCAGAGGUUGAAGCAGUGGGUGGUGAAGAAAGUGUACAAGCCCAGAACCUAUCACUCAGGAAGAGGCAAGACGGUGGUCUACAAGCAGCCAGAGUAACAGCUCUCCAAACACAACAUCCCUGCCGACAACGCCACAGCGCCAAAGCCUGCUAAUCCAACUGUCAUUGCCCAAUACAAGACAAGGUUCAACAGCUGAAGAACAUUCUGGAACUUGCCUGGAACAUUCAACCAACACAACAUCUAUAUUCAGUUAGACUGAUGUUGUAGUAUAACACAGAAUGCCCAGUAUGCUCACAACUGUAUUCUGGUAGAUAUUGCUAACUCUUGUACAUAUGUAUAUAAAGGAGUAUGAUAAAAUGUUUUGUAAAGUGUACUGACAAGUUACUAAAUGUUUACAGUUGCAUCAGAAACCAGUACUGCCCUACCAAGCAAAAGUGCAGAAACGGACCAAAAACAAUGACUUACUGACAUUUUUUAUACAUUAAAUACAUGCUUUAUCGUGUGGACAAAUUUCCUGCUUCCAUUGUGUUGUGUUAUGGAGAAAAUGGGGGGGAAGGGAAAAAGCAGUAAUUGCCAUCACUCACGUUAGCUACCGCCUUUUACCUCGGUUUCACAGAGUUUUGGGUUGCAGUUUCUAUGGUUUAACCACAUCUCCAAUUAUUUGUUUUACCUUUAUUUAACUAGGCAAGACCAUUAAAAACAAUUUAUUAUUUGCAAUGACGGCCUAAUAAUAUGCACAACAGUGAAUAUUUACUUUUUCCGUAUGAGGCAUCAAAAGUAAAGGAGUAGGAAGGAAUAUGUUGUGUAUUGAUAUUCUAGUUUCUCCCUUUCCAAAAUCAUGGGCAUUAAUAUGGAGUUGGCCCCCCUUUGCUGCUAUA